Molecule: small nuclear RNA, 111 nt
Filed under: Suricata suricatta (meerkat)
Lineage: Eukaryota; Metazoa; Chordata; Mammalia; Carnivora; Herpestidae
Description: U2 spliceosomal RNA (ENSSSUG00005010221.1)
Rfam family: U2 spliceosomal RNA
About the family: U2 is a small nuclear RNA (snRNA) component of the spliceosome (involved in pre-mRNA splicing).
Source: Rfam by way of RNAcentral
AUCCCUUCUCGGCCUUUUGGUUAAGAUCAAGUGUAGUAUCUGUUCUUAUCAGUUUAAUAUCUGAUACGUCCUCUAUCCGAGGACAAUAUAUUAAAUUUUAAUGAAAUGUUU